RNAcentral lists this transfer RNA (95 nucleotides) under Caldithrix sp. RBG_13_44_9. RNAcentral's name for it is "tRNA-Ser". It matches the Rfam family "tRNA". From Rfam's summary of the family: Transfer RNA (tRNA) molecules are approximately 80 nucleotides in length. Lineage: Bacteria; Pseudomonadati; Calditrichota; Calditrichia; Calditrichales; Calditrichaceae. The record is from RNAcentral. RNAcentral also lists the same sequence under 1 other name.
GGAGAGGUGGCCGAGUUGGCUGAAGGCGCUCGCCUGCUAAGUGAGUGUAGCGGGUUAAACUGCUACCGAGGGUUCGAAUCCCUCCCUCUCCGCCA